Molecule: ribosomal RNA, 940 nt
Filed under: uncultured Neocallimastigales
Lineage: Eukaryota; Fungi; Neocallimastigomycota; Neocallimastigomycetes; Neocallimastigales
Description: partial large subunit ribosomal RNA
Rfam family: Eukaryotic large subunit ribosomal RNA
Source: RNAcentral
CCGCAUCUGUGCAUGCAGCAUAUCAAUAAGCGGAGGAAAAGAAACUAACAAGGAUUCCCCUAGUAACGGCGAGUGAAGCGGGAAGAGCUCAAAUUUGAAAUCUUAAAGGGUUUCCCUUUACGAAUUGUAGUUUAAAGAAGUGUUUUCUGUUGAGGUUUUGGUAAAAGUUCUUUGGAAUAGGACAUCAUAGAGGGUGAGAAUCCCGUAUUUGACCUUUACUUUCAACUUUGUGAUACACUUUCAAAGAGUCGGAUUGUUUGGGAAUGCAGUCCAAAAUGGGUGGUAAAUUUCAUCUAAAGCUAAAUAUUGGCGAGAGACCGAUAGCGAACAAGUACCGUGAGGGAAAGAUGAAAAGAACUUUGAAAAGAGAGUUAAACAGUACGUGAAAUUGUCAAAAGGGAAGCGUUUGACACCAGUGUUGUUUUUCUGAAAAUCAAUUAAAGAACUGUUUAUGCUAAGUUGUUUAGACUUUAUCAGCUAACUGUUUAGUUUUGAGCUUUUCUUUAAUGCACUUUUCAGUUAACAAGUCAACAUCAAUUUCUUUUGCUGUAAAAAAGCUUGAGGAAGGUGGCUUGAGAUUCGUCUUAAGUGUUUAUAGCCUCUUGCCUAUGCAGUCGGAGAGAUUGAGGUCUGCAGCGUAGAUCCUUCGGGGCUAAAUGCAUUUGUGCUAAGUUAUAGCAUUUUAUAGACAACUUGUUGACUAUGAUUUGUCUUGUAGCUUACUCGCUUAUGUUAUUUUACCUACGCUUAGGAUGUUGACAGCAGUAUAGACUGUACACGCAUGACACACUGCAUAUCAAUAAGCGGAGGAAAAGGAGUAUACCUACGCUUAGGAUGUUGACACACGCGCGUGCUCGAUCUAUACAUGACUCUGUGCAUAUCAAUAAGCGGAGGAAAAGUCAAUACCUACGCUUAGGAUGUUGAGUAGCGACAUACGCAC